Chionomys nivalis (European snow vole) is the source of this 812-nucleotide long non-coding RNA. RefSeq lists it as uncharacterized. The transcript has 5 exons. Lineage: Eukaryota; Metazoa; Chordata; Mammalia; Rodentia; Cricetidae. The record is from RefSeq and is a predicted model, not a curated record.
AUACUGUUUGGCGUCUGUUUCUCUCCCCCUCCCCGCAUGUCAGAUAGUGCCUCUUCAAGACCCUGGAGUAACUUAGGACCUGCUGGGCGAGUCAAAGACCUUCAAAGGAAUUUAGAACAGCACCUGCUUCCUGAGUUGGCUCCAGGGAGGGUUUGUGCGCUGAGGGGAAGGCACAUUUCAGUGCUGUGGACAGACUGCUGGCACAGAGGUACAGGGCUGAGUCUCCUGCCUCAGAGGACGGGAUUUCCAGGCUGCAGGGAUUGCACCUCAUCUUUUUUUUGUCCUGUCCCUUUGACCAGAUGGCUUGCAGUCUGAGUAAUGUCAGCAUCAAAUGAACCCGGAAAGGAGGACACAGAAGUGUUGAAUACAGGAGGGAUGCUGACAAAAAGGGGUUGAUUCUAGGAUUGCCAUCUCAAGACAAGGAUGGUCCUUCUGUGUUCAGGACCUACCUACCUGCUUCAAGGAGAUGAAGUGCUACAUAGUAAAGGAGCCUAAAAUCCAUGGCACCUUAUAGUUAGGAAAAUGAGCAUCACCUGCUCCCUGCGUGGGCUCCAGAUAGGGUUUGUGUGCUAAGGAGAAUGCAAUUUCAUCUAUCUGGACUGGAUGCUAGCACAGAAUACAGUGCAGAGUCUCUUGCUUCUGAGGACUGUGUUUGCAAGCUGGAGGGUCACUUGGAAUCUGCAUAACUUUGACAUCAAAAUAACCUAGGAGAGAAGAAAACAGAAGAUGGAAUGCAGACCAAAAAGAAUAUUGGCAAAAAUAGUCUUGGAUGUGUAGUUAGCAAUCUCAGGAUAAGAACUGUCCUUUUAUCC